UCGGCUUGCGUUUUUACAAUGUCGCCUUCGGAGAAACCAACCUGUCCACAGACUCACUGUCUUAAUACUCACCUUUACACAGAGGAUCAGCUCUCCACAGUUAGGCUACACUGUCUUUUAGAACAACUCACAACAGUAAAUCCACGACUCGCAGCUCAUGCUCUGCAUUCCGGAGAGAUUUAUUUCAAAGAGCUGCUGCUCUCUCCGUCGCUCUCUAUAAUAACAGACUUUGUAGCUAAUUAUUCCAUCGGUUGUUUUGACGCUUAGGCUGGAUUUGCCUCUCACUAGUCCAGGCUAUGUUAGCUGUGUAUACACAGACCUCAGCCUCAAACAGCCUCGGCUUCCCCAGGCGAGAGCCGUCUAUCUGUUCGUCUUCCUCAUGGAGCUGACGGACGCAGCAGCAGCAGCAGCAGCAGCAGCAGCAACAGCAGCUAAUAGAGGCUGGAACAGACAGACCCGAUGCUGCGUGGAGCAAAAAAAAGAGGAAUGUGUGAAUUUUGAGAGAAAAAACAGGGAGAAAGAAAGCGAUGUGUUGACAGCGUGGAGAAAUUGAAUUAGCAGCCUGAGCGCCGGGAACAUUGGAUCCUAUUAGAGCAGCAGAGGAGCAGCUACCUGCAGGCCUCAGAUCUCUGCAGCUCCCUGAGGACCAGGUCCAGCACAGAUCACCACAGCCCUGAGCACAUCUGGAGGACAAGCUUCAAACCACACAUUUCUUGUUACAUAUUUUGAAUAUCGCCAGAAAAACAAAACAAAACUGGAAAACAUAGAAACAGUGGAGCUUCAGAAAAUUUCAAGUCACGUUGCAAUGAAAAAUAAUGAAAACCUGAAAUAUCGAAAAGCACAUUUUCUGAAAGACUGAGUAAAGACAAAAAAAAUGCAGAAAUCUGAAGUCAAAACAUGCAGAAAAUACUGAUAUAUCAGAUUAUGCUGCUCUAUAUGACUGAAUGAAGAAGGUGUAGAUGUGAGCAUGAACCUGCGGCUGAUCUGCAGGAUAAAUAUGAUGAAACUCAACCUGAUGCAGAGAAAAAUCCUGCGCAUGUUCCGGAUCCACGUCUAAUCUCCACCUAACCUGCCUGCACACCAGUGAACACAUCCUCAGCUAACAGAGUCGUCCUGCAGACAAAGCUGUGAGCGUGCCAGUGGUUCUCAGAGUGUGGCUCGUGGACCUGCUGCGGCCCUGCAGGAGCUCUGAUGUAGAACAAAGCAGUUUAAUUUCACCUGCCAGCAAUUAUCCUGCUGAUAGAACAAAGUCUGAAAAUGACUAUUGAAACCAGAAAUUCCGGUUUUAGUAAAGCGUGCCGUUGAGCAGCAUAGAUCAUGUGAAGCGUUUGUUUUCCAGGUGUGAGCUGAGCUCGCUGAAACACCUGCUGCACACUGAACACACUACUGGAUGGAAAAAUAAGUCCUCCUCAAAGCUUCUUCACAACGCCGUUGAAGGCAGUUCUUUAUUUAGUGGAUGGUUCUUCACAUGCUUUUAGUUUUUCUUUAAAGAACUGACGGUUCUUUGAUUUUAUUGGAGCUCUCUGGGAGCAGGUAAAAGGGUCAUUCCAGAAUUGGAGGACAUUUUACGUCCCACCCAUCAAAUUUCAAAUAAUCCAUGUACAAAAUACUAAAACAUGCAGUGGUUUUGUAAAUGUUCUUGUCCUGAGACCAAAUCUAAUAAAAAAAACUAGGAGAAAAUAAUGUUUGAAAAUAUUUUAAAAUACCAAAUAAGUCUGGAGUUCCUCCUGAAAUAGUAUUUUUAUUCUUGUCCCUCUCCCCUAAUGACCAAACUGAAUCUCAGAUAAAACAGUUAAAAUGAAAUUUAAAUCUCCUGUUUGGUGUUUUUUUUUCAUUGAUCCUGCUUGUAAUUGGAAAUUUUUUUUAAAUUAAUAUAUUUUACAUAAUUAUUAUCCAUGGAACGUGUGUCCCACAACAACCCUGUUAGCAUAACCUUUUUAUCUGGUAGAAGAAGAAAAAAAACAGUGAAUCACAUGAAACGCUGGAAUCAAACAGUUUUCCUUGAAGAAAGCUAUGCCCUCUCUUCUAUUUUUCAUAUUUUCAUAACAUUGUCUCACUCUACCUCAUAUUAUCAGGAUCAGACUAAUUCUUUUGACUGUUUUCCAUCAGUCAGUUUGUCCUCUAGGUCAGCAGUAACAGCUAGCUAAAUAUCUAGCUUCUACUGCUGAGGAAAAGCUAACAUUAGCAUGGAUUAGCAGCCCUGUUACUGUGAUUAGAGUAGGGUUAGCAAACAACAAAUAAAACAUGGAAUAAAAUGCUACCAUUGAUGUGUAAACUGAGCUAGUGAAGCCUUUGGAGGUUUAUGACCUAUUAUUGAUGAAUAUGGAGCAGAAAUUUGUAAAAGAGAAGGUUUACUUUUUCAUAAAUUUGAAAUCCAAAUGUCCUGCAGUUCUGGAAUGACUCAACAGCAUGGACCUGCAACCAAAAAUUCUUUUCAUUAUCAAUUAAUCUGUAAACUAUUUUCUCAAUUAAUUGAUUAGUCUUCUGGUCUAAAAACACCAGAAAAUUCAAAGCUGGCAUCUUGGGAUGUGUGUUUCUGUCUAAGAAAUCAAAAAUAAUAGAUUAAUUAAAAGUCUUCAAAAAAAACCCCAUUCAUUUAGAAAAAAAGCAAUAAACAAAAAACAACGGAACCACUAAAAAGAGGUUUUUUAGACACAGAAUUAUCUUGAAUACAGUGUCUUUAAAGUGCCUAAAAGUGUCUCGUAAAGUGUUUAAAGGAACAUUUUUUUUAUGGUGAGGCACCUUUGGUGGUUCUUUAAUGAACUGACUGCAGAAAAGCCUCUCUAAUCAUUGUCUUGCUAAAAGGUUCAUUGUAGAGCUAAAAAUGGUUCUUUUAUGGCCCCACUGUGGAAGAAACAUUUUUUGAUCCAGUUAGCGCCUUCAUUAAAUUAUUUUUUCAGUGUAGAGUUUGCAUUUUACAGCAGGGACUUUCACAAAGUUUCUUGAUUUUUUUAUUUUUCUGAAAUUUUCUAUGAUUUAAUUCCUGCCUUAAUUAAAACUGGACCAAGAGAAGAAUAAAAACCUCUAACUCUUUCCUGCCUGUGUUUCAGUCCUUUCGCUCGGGACAGACUGGCUGCUGUUUCAGGAUCAACAUGAAGACGAUGGUCUGAUGGAGUCCUCCAAGGUUAGUUCCACACAGCCAACGCUGAGCUGCAGAACAAACAAUGACUCCAACGGUCUGUCCACUGCUGCUCCUUCACAUCUUAACUCUCUGCUGCUUUUCUUUGCUGUUGUAAUGUUGCAACCAAAUGAGCGCUCCUUUCACAGACUUCCCCCCCCCAAAUUUUUUUACGUCACUAUUUUUGCAUAUUUACAUAAAAGAAAAUAGUACAUAAUGGCUGUAGAACAUUACAUUUUUGCAGCCAACAGUUCAGCAUUUGUGUUCUCUCUCUCUCACUGGAUGCUGCUGAACUUCGUAACACAAUUUGCCUUCUUUCAGCAGAGUUUGUGAGCCAUUAGAGCUAUUCUCUGUCAGCUCCUACAACCAGAUAUUCUCAUGUGAAGCAAUCCACCAUAAUGAAGAUAAAAAAUAUCAGAGUACAUGGUAAAAAUGCUCUUCAUUCUAAAAAAUAAUAUUGUAAAUUACAGGAUUUUCAAUAACCAGCCUCUAGCAUGAUAUUUAUAGUUAAAGCUGCAUGGAAAAUGAAUUCCUAAUGAACCACAUCACAUUUAAUAAGUAAGGAUGCUGUUUUUUAUUCACCAGUCUCCACAGUGGGUGAGCUCAGUGUUGUCACCUGCCAUCUCCUAAAGUAGAACAAAGAAAGAUCAGCUAUAAAUACUUAUUUAAAUGUGGUUGCAUUUACUUUAGUACAGAGCUCGUGUUGACAAUGAAAGCUUGUUUAAUAUUAUUAAGAAGCCCAAUUACAUUUUAGUAUUUUAGUACAUUAGUAUGACAUGUUGGCACUUGCUUUAAAAAUAACAAAUUACAAAGUCCCUAAGAACCAAAAUCACGCAGGGAGCUUUCUGCUGGCUGUUUUUUUUUUUU
Molecule: long non-coding RNA, 3985 nt
Organism: Amphiprion ocellaris (clown anemonefish)
Lineage: Eukaryota; Metazoa; Chordata; Actinopteri; Pomacentridae
Exons: 2
Source: RefSeq, a predicted model, not a curated record